GGGUUAGCCCAAAAAAUAUUGGGACAUAUAAAAAAAGACAGCUCUGUUCCGCAGAGUAGCUGUUGACAUUAUAGUUGCGCAGGAACUUUGUUGACUCUAGAGAACCUCGGGCAAAUCACACAUCCCGCGGCGGCAACUUUGCAUGCGGAUGUCAUCCAUAUCAACUUUUGAUGCCAGUUUCUGCGCCUAUCAUGGUGACCACGGGUAACAGAGAAUCAGGUUUCCAUUCCAUAAAGGGACCCUGAGAAACGGCUACCACAUGCAAGGAAGGAAGCAGGCUCGCAAAUGACCCACUCCUGACGCGGGAAGGUAG
Pelobates cultripes (western spadefoot toad) is the source of this 313-nucleotide non-coding RNA. The record is from the annotation of a GenBank genome assembly. NCBI's taxonomy places the organism in Eukaryota, Metazoa, Chordata, Amphibia, Anura, Pelobatidae.